UGAGCCAUCGCCAAGUGGUAAGGCAAUGGACUUUGACUCCAUCAUCGCAGGUUCGAUUCCUGUUGGCUCAACCA
This 74-nucleotide transfer RNA is filed under the name Herelleviridae sp. RNAcentral's name for it is "tRNA-Gln". It matches the Rfam family "tRNA". From Rfam's summary of the family: Transfer RNA (tRNA) molecules are approximately 80 nucleotides in length. Their secondary structure includes four short double-helical elements and three loops (D, anti-codon, and T loops). Further hydrogen bonds mediate the characteristic L-shaped molecular structure. tRNAs have two regions of fundamental functional importance: the anti-codon, which is responsible for specific mRNA codon recognition, and the 3' end, to which the tRNAs corresponding amino acid is attached (by aminoacyl-tRNA synthetases). tRNAs cope with the degeneracy of the genetic code in two manners: having more than one tRNA (with a specific anti-codon) for a particular amino acid; and 'wobble' base-pairing, i.e. permitting non-standard base-pairing at the 3rd anti-codon position. Lineage: Duplodnaviria; Heunggongvirae; Uroviricota; Caudoviricetes; Herelleviridae. The record is from RNAcentral.